GACGAACGCUGGCGGCGUGCUUAACACAUGCGAGUCGAACGCUGAAGCUCAGCUUUUGUUGGGUGGAUGAGUGGCGAACGGGUGAGUAACACGUGAGUAACCUGCCUCCUUCUUUGGGAUAACGCCCGGAAACGGGUGCUAAUACUGGAUAUUCACUGGUCUUCGCAUGGGGGAUGGUGGAAAGGGUUUUUCUGGUGGGGGAUGGGCUCGCGGCCUAUCAGCUUGUUGGUGGGGUGAUGGCCUACCAAGGCUUUGACGGGUAGCCGGCCUGAGAGGGUGAACGGUCACAUUGGGACGGAGCUACGGCCCAGACUCCGACGGGAGGCAGCAGUGGGGAAUAUUGCACAAUGGGCGCAAGCCUGAUGCAGCGACGCCGCGUGAGGGAUGGAGGCCGUCGGGUUGUGAACCUCUUUCGCUCAUGGUCAAGCCGCAACAAUGGUUGUGGUGAGGGUAGUGGGUAAAGAAGCGCCGGCUAACUACGUG
RNAcentral lists this ribosomal RNA (483 nucleotides) under uncultured bacterium. RNAcentral's name for it is "partial 16S ribosomal RNA". It matches the Rfam family "Bacterial small subunit ribosomal RNA", at positions 28 to 507 of the family's 1533-position model. The record is from RNAcentral.